RNAcentral lists this ribosomal RNA (246 nucleotides) under uncultured bacterium. RNAcentral's name for it is "partial 16S ribosomal RNA". It matches the Rfam family "Bacterial small subunit ribosomal RNA", at positions 524 to 770 of the family's 1533-position model. The record is from RNAcentral.
CACGUAGGGCGCAAGCGUUGUCCGGAAUUAUUGGGCGUAAAGAGCUCGUAGGCGGUCUGUGCGUCCGCUGUGAAAACUCGGGGCUUAACCCCGAGCCUGCAGUGGAUACGGGCAGACUAGAGGUAGGUAGGGGAGAAUGGAAUUCCCGGUGUAGCGGUGAAAUGCGCAGAUAUCAGGAGGAACACCAAUGGCGAAGGCAGCACUCUGGGACGGUACUGACGCUGAGACGCGAAAGCGUGGGGAGCA